This 700-nucleotide long non-coding RNA is filed under the name Fukomys damarensis (Damara mole-rat). Its description in RNAcentral is "lncRNA (ENSFDAG00000031424.1)". The record is from RNAcentral. Lineage: Eukaryota; Metazoa; Chordata; Mammalia; Rodentia; Bathyergidae.
UCACAUGGUUUUCUUCUCUUGCCUUUUCCUUUACUGCCUUCCUUUUGCUCUGGUGAAGGAGGAGGAGGAGGAGGAAAGAAGACUAAGAAGACUAAGAAGAGGAAAAGGAGGAAGAGGAAGAAGAGGAAUAAAACAAAUGCAUUUGCACAAGAGUCAUGUUUCUCAGUGGGAAGUGGAUGAUCUUACUUACUUCCUAUCUCAACAAUGAUGUGAGAUUGUUACUUACCUUCCCGAGAGAGGCUCUUGUUAAAGAGAGGAGCAGAACUAGGGAGAAGCUUGUUUCUGGAAAGUGAGGUGGAAUCUGGAGAAGAUUCGGGGACAGAUUUCAAAAUCCUGUGUGAAUACAUUUGACAAGGUUUUAAAAGCAGUGAUUGAACCAGCAAGACUCUGAGAUUACAGGAAUCUAAAUACAGCUAAUUGUAAGGUCAGCUUUCUGUGUUUGACUGUGGUGGUGGUGUUUGUUUGUUUGUUUGUUUUUUAAGGCAUCGUGCCCAGUUUGGAGAAAAUGUCCAAUGAAAAAUAGGCGUCCUGGAAUAAAAUAGUUUCUUGGGAAGUAGGAGCAAAUAGAUUUCAUUCAUUUAUUUGAAUAUGUCCAUUCAUUCAUUUAUUGUAAUAGCCAUCUUGAAAUGAUUCUGAUUUCUCAGCCAAUGAGCUAAAAAUCGUCAGGACUAAUUUAGCUGAAAUUGCCUCCUGAGAACCG